GUCUAUGGCCAUGCCAUCCUGCACAAGCCCAAUCCCGUCUGAUCUCGGAAGUUAAGCAGGGUUGGGCCUGGUUAGUGCUUGGAUGGGAGACCACCUAGGAAGACCAGGUGCUGUAGGAG
RNAcentral lists this ribosomal RNA (119 nucleotides) under Pteropus alecto (black flying fox). Lineage: Eukaryota; Metazoa; Chordata; Mammalia; Chiroptera; Pteropodidae. The record is from RNAcentral.